Triticum aestivum (bread wheat) is the source of this 1900-nucleotide RNA transcript. RefSeq lists it as uncharacterized. The record is from RefSeq and is a predicted model, not a curated record. The transcript is spliced from 6 exons. Lineage: Eukaryota; Viridiplantae; Streptophyta; Magnoliopsida; Poales; Poaceae.
CCCGCACGCACCACACCACACAACACGAUUGAUUCCCCAACCAACCACCUACGCUCUCCCUUCCCUACCCCGAUCUCGAUCCCAUCGCUGCCGCCGGCGAUCUCCUCGCCCCCCUGCGCCACCGCCCCCAACCUUCUGUUCCUCUCCCAUCGGAAUCCCAAGGGAAGGGAAGGGUAGGGAAGGCAAGGGAAGGGAGAGGGAGCGCCCAGAUCCACGGCGGCAUCAGCGCGCUGUCGUCGACCUGAUCCGCGUCCGUCCUCGACGGAGGUUGGCCAUGGAGGUCUGACCCGGCCCGGCAGCAGCGAUGGACGGACGGAGACGCCCCAAACCCGAGAACGGCACCUCAACCUUCAAGGACGACGCCUCAACCUUCAAGGGCGCGUGCCGGCGACCGCGGAUCUUCGGUGACGGCUAUGGAUGGCUGCCCCGGAUCUGGACGCACGACCUGCAGCUGCUGCAGCAGCUGGACGACCCAACGCACGAGCCCUCCCCCCUCCCUCAUGGCUCUGCUUCCUCCUACCCUGCCCCCCUCACGUGGACGUGCUGCCUUGGCAGGGAUCCUCCAUAUCAAGGGAAGAGCGGGGUAGUGUGGGCGAGGGAAGUCCUUGUGUACCAGGUGAAGCUCCUCCUUCCUCUCAUCCUCCCCCUUUUGAUUAUGCCUGCUGCACUUCCAUGUCUCUUCAGCCCUUUUAUUUCUUUUAAAAUUUUCCUAAAUGUCAUAAUUGUCACAAUUGUGCAGGCUUCUAAAAGAAACACAAAAGGAAACAAGAUGCAGUAAAUUUUUGAUGAAGAACAUUUUUCCAUAGCUUGUGAACAUAAUUGGUAUUCUAUCUAGCUGUGAGACCUUGCCUUUAUUUUGUAUGAAGUUAUGGUCACAGGAUCAUAGCACUCUGGGUUUUGGAUUCAGGUACAGGAUCAUGUGAUAAAAGAUAUGGUCACACCCAACAAUACACAUGACCGACCGCCGCUCCUCACGGACACUCCAGAACGUCCCAGCGUGGCGUCACUGGAGGAGACCAUGGUCAUGCACUCAACGGCUGGAACGAAGGGGCAGAGCAGGUGCUGACAUCUUCAUCUGGCCUUAGUUCCGAGGAAUUUAACUUGCCUACAAACUAUUUAAUUAAGCAUGUGGUCUACUCAGCCUCGUACUCCUUUGGCUGAGUUCUUGGUCCCCCUUUCCUUUUCUAUUCCCCUACCUAGCCUUCGAGCUAUGGCUGUGGCUUGUCGGUCAUCGAGCCGUGCUAAAUAGUACUGUUAGUUCAUUCCGGCAUCCUCAGACGAGGGAAGUCAAGGAGAUUAUAUUGCUUUCGCAUGCUCACCGGUGUUGGGCGCUGCCAGAGUUUGAAGCAUUGGGUAGCCUGAGCCCAAGAAACCUGGCACAAGAGAAGGAAGGGAAGAUGUCAUUGGAUACACUUAGCAUAAGGAGGCUUAAGAGUGAUGCUCAAGGAGACAUCGAAUGCUAUGAAGAACAGAGACCCAGAUAGGGUGCCCCUUGGCAGGCUGGACGGAAAGUCAGCAUCAAAAUUGCAGAAGAGAGAGCCCAACAGGGUGCCCGUUGGGAGGUUGGACGAGAAUUCGGCGUGGAAAAUGCAGAAGAGAGAGCCAAACAGGGUGGACGAGAAUGCGUGUUGAUUCGACAUGUGAUUAUCUAACCAGGAGAAACCGGUAGCUCAUUGAUCUCCGGUACUUGUUGGUAGACAGACUCACAGGUUGUGAAACCAUGGUUUCUUUCUUCAUCCCAUUAUCUAGCUUAACUGUAUACCUGCAGACCAUGAGAAGAUUUGGCUGCAUUUUUUAGUCGACACUCGUCGUGGUCAUCUAGAGAUGUACCUAGAUUAAUUUAGCGACCACUAGUGUUUCUUGAUCUGCUUCAGUUAAGACCAAAAGUGUUUCUUGGUUU